GGGGAUGAGUAAAGCGGCGAACGGGUGAGUAACACGUGGGCAACCUGCCCUUCAGUCAGGAAUAACCCACCGAAAGGUGGGCUAAUACCGGGUAAUGUCCUUUGGAGGCAUCUUCGGGGGACCAAAGGGGGCGAGCGAAAGCGGCUCCCGCUGAGGGAUGGGCCUGCGGCUGAUUAGCUAGUUGGUGGGGUAGCGGCCUACCAAGGCAACGAUCAGUAGCCGACCUGAGAGGGUGACCGGCCACACUGGGACUGAGACACGGCCCAGACUCCUACGGGAGGCAGCAGUGGGGAAUAUUGCGCAAUGGGCGAAAGCCUGACGCAGCGACGCCGCGUGGGUGAUGAAGGCUUUCGGGUCGUAAAACCCUGUCGGGUGGAACGAAUCCCCUCCUCUCUAAUACAGGGGAGGAUUGACGGUACCACCGAAGGAAGCCCCGGCUAACUACGUGCCAGCAGCCGCGGUAAUACGUAGGGGGCGAGCGUUGUUCGGAUUUACUGGGCGUAAAGAGCGCGUAGGUGGUUCGAUGAGUCGGAGGUG
RNAcentral lists this ribosomal RNA (537 nucleotides) under uncultured bacterium. RNAcentral's name for it is "bacterial SSU rRNA". It matches the Rfam family "Bacterial small subunit ribosomal RNA", at positions 82 to 596 of the family's 1533-position model. The record is from RNAcentral.